Molecule: ribosomal RNA, 326 nt
Filed under: uncultured crenarchaeote
Lineage: Archaea; Thermoproteati; Thermoproteota
Description: bacterial SSU rRNA
Rfam family: Archaeal small subunit ribosomal RNA
Source: RNAcentral
GCGAGUCAACGUAGAAAUACGUGGCGAACGGCUCAGUAACACGUAGUCAACAUGCCCAGAGGACGCGGAUAACCUCGGGAAACUGAGGAUAAACCGCGAUAGGCCAUGAUUUCUGGAAUGGUUUAUGGCUGAAAUCUAUAUGGCCUCUGGAUUGGACUGCGGCCGAUCAGGCUGUUGGUGAGGUAAUGGCCCACCAAACCUGUAACCGGUACGGGCUCUGAGAGGAGGAGCCCGGAGAUGGGCACUGAGACAAGGGCCCAGGCCCUAUGGGGCGCAGCAGGCGCGAAAUCUCUGCAAUAGGCGAAAGCUUGACAGGGUUACUCUGA